This 468-nucleotide ribosomal RNA is filed under the name uncultured bacterium. RNAcentral's name for it is "partial 16S ribosomal RNA". It matches the Rfam family "Bacterial small subunit ribosomal RNA", at positions 28 to 507 of the family's 1533-position model. The record is from RNAcentral.
GACGAACGCUGGCGGCGUGCUUAACACAUGCAAGUCGAACGGAAAGGCCCUGCUUUUGUGGGGUGCUCGAGUGGCGAACGGGUGAGUAACACGUGAGUAACCUGCCCUUGACUUUGGGAUAACUUCAGGAAACUGGGGCUAAUACCGGAUAGGAGCUCCUGCUGCAUGGUGGGGGUUGGAAAGUUUCGGCGGUUGGGGAUGGACUCGCGGCUUAUCAGCUUGUUGGUGGGGUAGUGGCUUACCAAGGCUUUGACGGGUAGCCGGCCUGAGAGGGUGACCGGCCACAUUGGGACUGCGGUACGGCCCAGACUCCUACGGGGGGCAGCAGUGGGGAAUAUUGCACAAUGGGCGGAAGCCUGAUGCAGCGACGCCGCGUGCGGGAUGACGGCCUUCGGGUUGUAAACCGCUUUCGCCUGUGACGAAGCGUGAGUGACGGUAAUGGGUAAAGAAGCACCGGCUAACUACGUG